UCGAGAAUCUUUCGCAAUGGGCGCAAGCCUGACGAAGCGACGCCGUGUGAGCGAAGAAGGCCUUCGGGUUGUAAAGCUCUUUCGCCAGGGAACAAGAGAGUCCGUCUAAUAAGCGGAUGAUUUGAUGGUACUUGGUAAAGAAGCACCGGCUAACUCCGUGCCAGCAGCUGCGGUAAUACGGAGGGUGCAAGCAUUGAUCGGAAUUACUGGGUGUAAAGGGCGCGUAGGCGGCCGAAUAAGUUGGAUGUGAAAUUCCGGGGCUCAACCCCGGAGCGGCAUUCAAAACUGUUUGGCUAGAGUGUAGUAAGGGAAAACGGAAUUCCACGUGUAGCGGUGAAAUGCGUAGAUAUGUGGAAGAACACCGGUGGUGAAGACGGUUUUCUGUGCUACAACUGACGCU
This 400-nucleotide ribosomal RNA is filed under the name uncultured bacterium. Its description in RNAcentral is "bacterial SSU rRNA". It matches the Rfam family "Bacterial small subunit ribosomal RNA", at positions 355 to 747 of the family's 1533-position model. The record is from RNAcentral.